CCAGACUCCUACGGGAGGCAGCAGUGAGGAAUAUUGGUCAAUGGGCGGGAGCCUGAACCAGCCAAGCCGCGUGAGGGAAGAAGGUACAGCGUAUCGUAAACCUCUUUUGUCAGGGAACAAAGGCGGGGACUAGUCCCCGGAUGAGGGUACCUGAAGAAAAAGCAUCGGCUAACUCCGUGCCAGCAGCCGCGGUAAUACGGAGGAUGCGAGCGUUAUCCGGAUUUAUUGGUUUUAAAGGGUGCGCAGGCGGCCUGUUAGGCCGGCGUUAAAAGCCGGGGCCUCAACCCCGGCGAGCCGUUGAAACUGGCGGGCUGGAGUUGGAGAGAAGUACGCGGAAUGCGCGGUGUAGCGGUGAAAUGCAUAGAUAUCGCGCAGAACUCCGAUUGCGAAGGCAGCAUGCCGGCUCCACACUGACGCUGAGGCACGAAAUCGUGGGUAUCGAACAGGAUUAGAUACCCGGGUA
This 463-nucleotide ribosomal RNA is filed under the name uncultured bacterium. Its description in RNAcentral is "bacterial SSU rRNA". It matches the Rfam family "Bacterial small subunit ribosomal RNA", at positions 331 to 792 of the family's 1533-position model. The record is from RNAcentral.